CGUCCCCCUUCUCCACCUCUCGCACGUUGUCGCUCCGCACCGAUUUUUAUUCGCCAACCGAAUCCCACACGAAAAAAAAUAACAGAAAAAAACCCGUGCGUUACGCAUCUCCUCUAUCUCCUAAAUCACCGCCUCCUCUUCCCGCAAUCUCUCACCCCCUCCCCGCCAAUUACGCCCGUCUCCUCUAUCCCAAAUCCCAACCCCGCAGCGGAGAUAGUCCUGCCGUCGCUCCAUGCCGCCGCGACGAACGGCAUCGAAGCACGUCCCGCCCUAGCUUCAUGCCGCCGCGAAGUACAGGUGGUGCUCGGGGUCUUUCCACGGGUGAACUGUCGCAGCAGAUCGAGAACGCCAUCCUCUUCUUGAAUUUUGCUGACCGAUCCAUUCCCGCGUCCAAGCCCAACGUCAUCCUCUUCUUGUACUUUGCCGAUCGAUCUGACCCCGCGUCCAAUCACGGAGUCCCGUGGACCGUCUCGAACUUGUAACCAACCCCACUCGCCCCAAUGGACGAUGAUGUGCCCAUGGAGGAUAGGUAUUGCUUCAUCUUCUGCACUCGCUGAUUGCAGUAUCCCGGAUUACCUGACACCGUGAAGCUGGAGCCUCAUCCGCAGCCAAUAUAAGUUGUUCCCUGCCCGUCUCACAUAAACAACCAUUCUCCCUUCUAUGAAUAAGCAUAGUCAUGUGUGCAGAUGGACAUGCAUAUGAUUUUUAACCAUUUCACAAGAUAUUCGUAUUCGCUGCUAGCAGUUUUCUGUGAAAGAACAUUUCAGUAUCGAGUGACAUGGCACAAGGCAGAGCGUGCAAUAUCUGAAUGAGUACUGGGUUGCCACCGCAUUGGAUUGAUGGUUGUUCAUUUGUGGCUCCUGAUUAUUUGGUGAUUGCAGAGCACUUGGCAGGCAGAUCAGUUAUGAGGAACUCAAGGCUGAGCUAGAGCGGGGUGGGCGCCAACAUGAAGGAGUCGGAGAUAUCUCAAUUCAUGUAUCAGGCAUUAUGCAGACCCUAAGCUUCCCCUUUUCCUAUCCCACAUUUUGCCAUUGAACUCGAUUGGUAUAGCAAAAUGAAAAAUAGACCGCUAUUUACUUGGCAACUCAAAUUACUACAUCAGUUCUUAUCCUAUGGUGAUCAAAACUAAUUGAUGAAACAUUGUUAUGCGAUUAUUGAAUCUAAGACAAGGACAAACCUGUUAGAAAAGACAUAGUAGCUCAUUUUCAACUUCAGAAUUACUAAAACAGAGUAAUGUUAUCCAUCUCAUUGGAACUGUAUAUUUUAUACAAAACAAAUAGUACAUAAUUAUUUAGGACUCACGGUGUCAACUAAGGUUGUUUCAAGAAAAUCAAUGAGCGGUUGCUGAAAUUAUAACCAGUUUUCUUGCAUGUCGGGCCCACACCACACAAACCGUUUGUUUGACUGUUUCUAACAGCUUUUGCGGCUUGCAUUGUUUAACGGGGGGAUAACAGAAUGCACAGAAACAGCCUCCAUGGUAUCUAACACCAGCAUAUGUUGUCUCUUCACCAUGUAAUGUUGUGCAGCCUAACAGAAAUAUGAACUUGACCUUGAGCUCUCCGCGCAAUUGUGGAUUUGUUUCUAUUAUCUUCAUAGCCUGUCUACUAGCAAUUCUGCACAACCUUAGUGUAGAUGAUUGUGUGAACGAUACAACUGUGGAAAAUAACUAUACCUUUUUGGUAGUGAGGAACUAAUUUUUGGUGUUAGGAAAUUAUGAAGUAUUUAUGCGUGUUCCACAACUUCAAAUGUACUUGAUGUAUCAAUUCCGUUUGUAAUCUUUCAAAUUGAGGAUAUUUCAGAGGAACUUCGUGCAAUUCUCGAUAAAUACACAAUUUCUUUCUUUCAGCAUGUUCCAUUUGUGAUGAUACUUCAUAGUUUCUUACAAAUUUUUGAGGUGCAAUUUUCAUUCUUCUGUGCUCGGAUUUCAAAUUUUGUUCCAUCAUAAAGUUUAUCGCAUUAAUCUCUUAGCCUUUUAUAUCAAAACCUAAUAAGCCUGUUAGUUGAGUCCCACUUAGGAAUUAGAGAAGUUUCUUUUGUUUCCUGGAUAGAUACUUAUGGUUGUGUCCUCUUUUAGGUUUGAUAUGCCAGGGCCGAGCAUCACUGUCGAGUUGAAGAAAUACUUGUAAUGGUUGUCAAAGUUGUGUUUAUUUCUGCAAACUGAUUAAAAACGGGUCCACCUUCAUAAGGGUGAUGUAAGUUGCAACUAAGCUCAGGUUUAUUCCCUGUUGCCUACAUAUUUCUAUUUCACCACAUUAUCUCUUAGCCACUAGAUGGAAAACAGAAAAAAAAAUGGGAGAGAAUCACUUCCUUUAUAGAUCUAUGU
Molecule: long non-coding RNA, 2323 nt
Organism: Triticum aestivum (bread wheat)
Lineage: Eukaryota; Viridiplantae; Streptophyta; Magnoliopsida; Poales; Poaceae
Exons: 4
Source: RefSeq, a predicted model, not a curated record